UACGUAGGGCGCAAGCGUUGUCCGGAAUUAUUGGGCGUAAAGAGCUCGUAGGCGGCCUGUUACGUCUGCUGUGAAAUCCCGGGGCUUAACCCCGAGCCUGCAGUGGAUACGGGCAGACUAGAGGUAGGUAGGGGAGAAUGGAAUUCCCGGUGUAGCGGUGAAAUGCGCAGAUAUCGGGAGGAACACCCGUGGCUAAGGCGGCUCUCUAGUACGGUACUGACGCUGAGGAGCGAAAGCGUGGGGAGCGAACAGG
Molecule: ribosomal RNA, 253 nt
Filed under: uncultured bacterium
Lineage: Bacteria
Description: partial 16S ribosomal RNA
Rfam family: Bacterial small subunit ribosomal RNA
Source: RNAcentral